RNAcentral lists this ribosomal RNA (205 nucleotides) under Russula xerophila. Its description in RNAcentral is "5.8S ribosomal RNA". The stretch from base 35 to 188 matches the Rfam family "5.8S ribosomal RNA". From Rfam's summary of the family: 5.8S ribosomal RNA (5.8S rRNA) is a component of the large subunit of the eukaryotic ribosome. It is transcribed by RNA polymerase I as part of the 45S precursor that also contains 18S and 28S rRNA. The record is from RNAcentral. Lineage: Eukaryota; Fungi; Basidiomycota; Agaricomycetes; Russulales; Russulaceae.
CUUUUUUUUUUUGCGGUGACACNCAGAUCAAUACAACUUUCAACAACGGAUCUCUUGGCUCUCGCAUCGAUGAAGAACGUAGCGAAAUGCGAUACGUAAUGUGAAUUGCAGAAUUCAGUGAAUCAUCGAAUCUUUGAACGCACCUUGCGCCCCUUGGCAUUCCGAGGGGCACACCCGUUUGAGUGUCGUGAAAUCUUCAAAACCU